UUCUUAUCCAGAGAGGUGGAGGGACUGGCCCUUUGAAACCUCGGCAGCGGAACUGAUGGAAUUCCAUCGGAAACCGUGCCAAUUCCAGCAGGUGCAUCGCACUUGAAAGAUGAGAA
This 116-nucleotide non-coding RNA is filed under the name Salimicrobium jeotgali. RNAcentral describes it as "SAM-I sequence". It matches the Rfam family "SAM riboswitch aptamer (S box leader)". From Rfam's summary of the family: The SAM riboswitch is found upstream of a number of genes which code for proteins involved in methionine or cysteine biosynthesis in Gram-positive bacteria. The SAM riboswitch acts at the level of transcription termination control. The predicted structure consists of a complex stem-loop region followed by a single stem loop terminator region. Lineage: Bacteria; Bacillati; Bacillota; Bacilli; Caryophanales; Bacillaceae. The record is from Rfam by way of RNAcentral.